GUGCAGCAGGCGAGAAUUUUUCUCAAUGGGGGCAACCCUGAAGGAGCGACGCCGCGUGGAGGAUGAAGGCUUUCGGGUUGUAAACUCCUGUCAUUUGGGAACAAGUUGGACGCAGUAACUACGCGUCCAUUGAUAGUACCAGAAGAGGAAGGGACGGCUAACUCUGUGCCAGCAGCCACGGUAAUACAGAGGUCCCAAGCGUUGUUCGGAUUCAUUGGGCGUAAAGGGUGCGUAGGUGGCGCCGUAAGUGGGGUGUGAAAUUUCGGAGCUUAACUCCGAAACUGCAUUCCAUACUGCGGUGCUUGAGGACUGGAGAGGAGACUGGAAUUCAUGGUGUAGCAGUGAAAUGCGUAGAGAUCAUGAGGAAGACCAGUGGCGAAGGCGGGUCUCUGGACAGUUCCUGACACUGAGGCACGAAGGCCAGGGGAGCAAACGGGAUUAGAUACCCUUGUAGU
Molecule: ribosomal RNA, 455 nt
Filed under: uncultured organism
Description: bacterial SSU rRNA
Rfam family: Bacterial small subunit ribosomal RNA
Source: RNAcentral